GCGCUUGUAGUUCAAUUGGAUAGGACGUCGGAUUUCGGCUCCGAAAGUUGAGGCUUCAAGUCCUUCCUAGCGUA
This 74-nucleotide transfer RNA is filed under the name Hymenolepis diminuta. It matches the Rfam family "tRNA". From Rfam's summary of the family: Transfer RNA (tRNA) molecules are approximately 80 nucleotides in length. Their secondary structure includes four short double-helical elements and three loops (D, anti-codon, and T loops). Lineage: Eukaryota; Metazoa; Platyhelminthes; Cestoda; Cyclophyllidea; Hymenolepididae. The record is from Rfam by way of RNAcentral.